RNAcentral lists this long non-coding RNA (854 nucleotides) under Homo sapiens (human). RNAcentral's name for it is "EPCIP antisense RNA 1". The record is from RNAcentral. Lineage: Eukaryota; Metazoa; Chordata; Mammalia; Primates; Hominidae.
AGUGCGUCUUCGCACUUACGCGGAGCGGUAAUGUGAGGAAGCCUCCCGCCAAACAGAUGAGGGAGGAGGAGGAGGGGAGAGGCCAGAGAGAGAAGCGGCUUUCGGGAAGGAAAGUGUGAUCUAGUAGGUGGAAUAGUCCUCUCCAAACUUUGACCUGAGGUGUGACUAUUGAAUGACCCUCUAUUUGGAUUUGGAUUACACAAAGUUUAACGUUUUUUGGAAAAAUCCUACCUAGGUAAUGUGUAGUUCUCAAUGCAUCAUGUCAGGCAGCUUAUGAUGCCAAUUUGUCCCAUGCCUCGAGGUCUUUAGGAAAACGGUGACUCUGGAGCACAGCCCUGGAUCCCUGAUGGCAGGUGGAUGAAUCUGCUCCCCACCUGGAUGCUGCUAGUCCUUUCUCCAGGCUCCGUGACUGAAAAUGUGCUUUACUUGGCAAAAGCUGUUUCUCCUCAGAACUCUAGAAAUCAGAUCUUGGCCCACCUCUUUCAGGUGGUCAAGGGGUUUGAAGGCACGACUAUUCAUAUGAUUUGGGAGAGGUUGCUGAAUCUCCAGGAGAUACCCUUGUGAGCUUCAGACUGGGGUCUGUGUCUGGGACUGGAAGACCCCAGGACAUUGGAGAGAGGAGCAAAGCCUAGAGCAUGAGCCCCAGAAGACGCCACUGUGCCGGUGCACCACCUGGGGACUUUGGCUUAUGUGGAUUCUGUUUCAGUAGAUCUGGGUGGGAUCGAGAUCUUUUAUUUCCAACCAACACCCACGUCCCAGGACCUCACUGGAAAGAGGCGGGCGGGCGCGGGGAGCCUUCCUGAGGUUCCUGGUUCUCAAGAGCCGGGUGUAAGGAAGGAAAAUCAAAGAUUGAA